RNAcentral lists this ribosomal RNA (495 nucleotides) under uncultured Treponema sp. RNAcentral describes it as "partial 23S ribosomal RNA". The record is from RNAcentral. Lineage: Bacteria; Pseudomonadati; Spirochaetota; Spirochaetia; Treponematales; Treponemataceae.
GGGUAAAGGCAAUCUGCCCUGGGUAAGUCGGCCCCUAAGGCGAGGAGGAAACCCGUAGCCGAUGGGAAGGCGGUGAAUAUUCCGAUACUUCAAUCAGUUUCGARGGCAGGACGCAUGAGGCGARGUCMGGCGGGAGAACGGUAGUUCCGGUCGAGGCGGCGAGGYGKARAGGCAUACAGGCAAAUCCGUAUGCUGAGCUGAGCUGAGAGCGAUUCCCUUUACGGAGGAACGAAACGKACAGAAUCAAGGUGCCGGGAAAUAAUGGYUAAGGUCAGGCUGGUUGGAACCGUACCGGAAACCGACACAGGUWGGAAGGAUGAGUAAUCUARGGCGCACGAGCGAACUCGCGUUAAGGAACUCGGCAAAAUGCACACGUAACUUCGGAAGAAGUGUCGGCUCCAUGUUAGAARAUGUAUAAUGAGCGGCAGAAAGCAGGCCCAGGCGACUGUUUAUCAAAAACACAGCCAUCUGCGAACCAGCGAUGAGACGUAUAGG